GGUUUGAUCAUGGCUCAGAUUGACCGCUGGGCGGAUGCUUUACACAUGCAAGUCGAACGGCAGCACGGACUUCGGUCUGGUGGCGAGUGGCGAACGUGAGUAAUGACGUGGUGGAACGCCUAGUAAGGUGGGGGAUAACUACGCGAAAGGUAGCUAAUACCGCAUACUGCCUUUCGGGAAAGCGGGGGACCUUCGGUUUCGCAAUUAUUAGGAGCGGCCGGAUAUCGGAUUAGCUGAAGUUGGAGGUAACGGCUCACCAAGGACGAUCCGUAGCUGGUUUGAGAGGACGACCAGCCACACUGGGAUCGAGACACGGCCCAGAUUCCUACGGAGGCAGCAGUGGGGAAUUUUGACAAUGGGGAAACCCCGAUCCAGCCAUCCUGGCGUGUGCGAUGCAGCCUUCGGGGUUGUAAAGCACUUUGGCAGAGUGAAACGGGGCACGGGAUAAUACUCCUGGGUGCAACUGACGGUACCUGCAGAAUAAGCACCGGCUAACUACGCGUGCCAGCAAGCCGCGGUAACAUGUGUAGGGCAAGCGUUAACGGAAUUACUGGGCGCAAAGCGUGCGUGCGGCGGUUCGGAAAGAAAGAUGAAAUCCCAGAGCUUAACUUUGGAACUGCAUUUUUAACUACCGAGCUAGAGUGUGCCGAGGAGGUGAAUUCCGCGUAGAAAGUGAAAUGUAGAUAUGCGAGGAACACUCCGAUGGCGAAAGGCAGCCUCCUGGGGAUAACAAAUCGACGCUCAUGCACGAAAGCGUGGGGAGCAAACAGGAUUAGAUAGAAUUCUGGUAGUCCACGCCCCAAACGAUGUCAACUAGCUGUUGGGGCCUUCGGGCCUUGGUAGCGCAGCUAACGCGUGAAGUUGACCGCCUGGGGAGUACGGUCGCAAGAUUAAAACUCAAAGAAUUGACGGGACCCGCACAAGCGGUGGAUGAUGUGAUUUUCUCAAUUCGAUGCAACGCGAAAAACCUUACCUACCCUUGACAUGUCUGGAAUCCCGGGAAGAGAUGCCUGGGAGUGCUCGCAAGAGAACCGGAACACAGGUGCUGCAUGGCUGUCGUCAGCUCGUGUCGUGAGAUGUUGGGUUAAGUCCCGCAACGAGCGCAACCCUUGUCAUUAUUGCUACGAAAGGGCACUCUAAUGAGACUGCCGGUGAUAAACUGGAGGAAGGUGGGGAUGACGUCGCAGUCCCUUUAUUCCCGGCGGUAGGGCUUCACACGUCAUACAAUGGUCGGGACAGAGGGUCGCCAACCCGCGAGAGGGGACAAUCCCAGAAACCCGAUCGUAGUCCGGAUCGCAGUCUGCAACUCGACUGCGUGAAGUCGGAAUCGCUAGUAAUCGCGGAUCAGCAUGUCGCGGUGAAUACGUUCCUGGUCUUGUACACACCGCCCGUCACACCAUGGGAGUGGGUUUUACCAGAAGUAGUUAGCCUAACCGUAUGAGGGCGAUUACCACGGUAGGAUUCAUGACUGGGGUGAAGUCGUAACAAGGUAA
RNAcentral lists this ribosomal RNA (1493 nucleotides) under uncultured Bordetella sp. Its description in RNAcentral is "partial 16S-23S ribosomal RNA intergenic spacer". It matches the Rfam family "Bacterial small subunit ribosomal RNA". Lineage: Bacteria; Pseudomonadati; Pseudomonadota; Betaproteobacteria; Burkholderiales; Alcaligenaceae. The record is from RNAcentral.